RNAcentral lists this ribosomal RNA (774 nucleotides) under Escherichia coli. RNAcentral's name for it is "bacterial SSU rRNA". It matches the Rfam family "Bacterial small subunit ribosomal RNA", at positions 599 to 1372 of the family's 1533-position model. Lineage: Bacteria; Pseudomonadati; Pseudomonadota; Gammaproteobacteria; Enterobacterales; Enterobacteriaceae. The record is from RNAcentral.
AUCCCCGGGCUCAACCUGGGAACUGCAUCUGAUACUGGCAAGCUUGAGUCUCGUAGAGGGGGGUAGAAUUCCAGGUGUAGCGGUGAAAUGCGUAGAGAUCUGGAGGAAUACCGGUGGCGAAGGCGGCCCCCUGGACGAAGACUGACGCUCAGGUGCGAAAGCGUGGGGGAGCAAACAGGAUUAGAUACCCUGGUAGUCCACGCCGUAAACGAUGUCGACUUGGAGGUUGUGCCCUUGAGGCGUGGCUUCCGGAGCUAACGCGUUAAGUCGACCGCCUGGGGAGUACGGCCGCAAGGUUAAAACUCAAAUGAAUUGACGGGGGCCCGCACAAGCGGUGGAGCAUGUGGUUUAAUUCGAUGCAACGCGAAGAACCUUACCUGGUCUUGACAUCCACGGAAGUUUUCAGAGAUGAGAAUGUGCCUUCGGGAACCGUGAGACAGGUGCUGCAUGGCUGUCGUCAGCUCGUGUUGUGAAAUGUUGGGUUAAGUCCCGCAACGAGCGCAACCCUUAUCCUUUGUUGCCAGCGGUCCGGCCGGGAACUCAAAGGAGACUGCCAGUGAUAAACUGGAGGAAGGUGGGGAUGACGUCAAGUCAUCAUGGCCCUUACGACCAGGGCUACACACGUGCUACAAUGGCGCAUACAAAGAGAAGCGACCUCGCGAGAGCAAGCGGACCUCAUAAAGUGCGUCGUAGUCCGGAUUGGAGUAUGCAACUCGACUCCAUGAAGUCGGAAUCGCUAGUAAUCGUGGAUCAGAAUGCCACGGUGAAUACGUU